UGCGACCGUGCGUGUGUAUGUCUGCAAUGCACUGUGUGAGGAUGAGGAUCAGAGAGUUAAUGUAAUAUGCCGACGCAAGCAUGUGACAAGCAAGGGAGUGCAUUUCUGCAUUUCAGAAUGUUUGUGCUCAAGUUUCCACGUCUGUGUGUGACCUGUCUGUCCUCUAGCCCCGCUCUCUAGGCAGGUAACCUUUAGUGUCUGUGUGCCUGCCUGCCGGUUAGCGAGCCGCACUGAGCCAUGUGGUGCGCCCUUGCCCUUGUCCUUUUCUCAGGGUUCCGGGAGAUGUGAUGUGACGUUGGGGGCGAGGAGGAAGAGGUGUAGUGUGGGAGCUAGGGAGGACGACCAAGUUUAAUGGGACUCGAUCAAUGAAGGCCAGACAAAAGAAAGUGGUAAAAAAUCUGGAAAAUAGCAGAAAGGAAAACUGCCAGGCUCCCGUUGAACUCGUCAUCGUUCUUCUCGAAUCCGGAGGACAUCAAACAAUAGAGAUGGACUCCAAUCAAGUUGUACUAAACAUCUCAAGGAUGAUCAAUGGAAACCGGAUACACCUGAGCUCAAUUUUGAGUCUCAUAGCAAAG
Oncorhynchus keta (chum salmon) is the source of this 575-nucleotide long non-coding RNA. RefSeq lists it as uncharacterized. Lineage: Eukaryota; Metazoa; Chordata; Actinopteri; Salmoniformes; Salmonidae. The record is from RefSeq and is a predicted model, not a curated record. The transcript has 3 exons.